This 86-nucleotide transfer RNA is filed under the name Clostridiales bacterium. Its description in RNAcentral is "tRNA-Tyr". It matches the Rfam family "tRNA". Rfam says of the family: Transfer RNA (tRNA) molecules are approximately 80 nucleotides in length. Their secondary structure includes four short double-helical elements and three loops (D, anti-codon, and T loops). Further hydrogen bonds mediate the characteristic L-shaped molecular structure. tRNAs have two regions of fundamental functional importance: the anti-codon, which is responsible for specific mRNA codon recognition, and the 3' end, to which the tRNAs corresponding amino acid is attached (by aminoacyl-tRNA synthetases). tRNAs cope with the degeneracy of the genetic code in two manners: having more than one tRNA (with a specific anti-codon) for a particular amino acid; and 'wobble' base-pairing, i.e. permitting non-standard base-pairing at the 3rd anti-codon position. RNAcentral also lists the same sequence under 3 other names. Lineage: Bacteria; Bacillati; Bacillota; Clostridia; Eubacteriales. The record is from RNAcentral.
GGAAGGAUUCCCGAGUGGCUAAAGGGAGCAGACUGUAAAUCUGCCGUCCGUCGACUUCGAUGGUUCGAAUCCAUCUCCUUCCACCA